RNAcentral lists this ribosomal RNA (513 nucleotides) under uncultured bacterium. Its description in RNAcentral is "partial 16S ribosomal RNA". It matches the Rfam family "Bacterial small subunit ribosomal RNA", at positions 28 to 523 of the family's 1533-position model. The record is from RNAcentral.
GACGAACGCUGGCGGCAUGCCUAAUACAUGCAAGUCGAGCGAACAGAUGAAGUGCUUGCACUUCUGACGUUAGCGGCGAACAGGUGAGUAACACGUAAGGAAUCUACCUAUAAGCGGGGGAUAACAUUCGGAAACGGGUGCUAAUACCGCAUAAUAUCUUCUUCCGCAUGGAAGAAGAUUGAAAGACGGCUCUGCUGUCACUUAUAGAUGACCUUGCGGUGCAUUAGUUAGUUGGUGGGGUAACGGCCUACCAAGACGAUGAUGCAUAGCCGACGUGAGAGGGUGAUCGGCCACAUUGGGACUGAGACACGGCCCAAACUCCUACGGGAGGCAGCAGUAGGGAAUCUUCCGCAAUGGGCGAAAGCCUGACGGAGCAAUGCCGCGUGAGUGAAGAAGGCCUUCGGGUCGUAAAACUCUGUUAUAAGAGAAGAACAAAUUGUAGAGUAACUGCUACAGUCUUGACGGUAUCUUAUCAGAAAGCCACGGCUAACUACGUGCCAGCCGCCGCGGUAA